Molecule: ribosomal RNA, 429 nt
Filed under: Chloroflexota bacterium
Lineage: Bacteria; Bacillati; Chloroflexota
Description: Chloroflexi bacterium partial 16S ribosomal RNA
Rfam family: Bacterial small subunit ribosomal RNA
Source: RNAcentral
UGGGGAAUAUUGCACAAUGGGCGCAAGCCUGAUGCAGCCAUGCCGCGUGUGUGAAGAAGGCCUUCGGGUUGUAAAGCACUUUCAGCGGGGAGGAAGGCGAUAAGGUUAAUAACCUUGUCGAUUGACGUUACCCGCAGAAGAAGCACCGGCUAACUCCGUGCCAGCAGCCGCGGUAAUACGGAGGGUGCAAGCGUUAAUCGGAAUUACUGGGCGUAAAGCGCACGCAGGCGGUCUGUCAAGUCGGAUGUGAAAUCCCCGGGCUCAACCUGGAAACUGCAUUCGAAACUGGAAGGCUAGAGUCUUGUAGAGGGGGGUAGAAUUCCAGGUGGAGCGGUGAAAUGCGUAGAGAUCUGGAGGAAUACCGGUGGCGAAGGCGGCCCCCUGGACAAAGACUGACGCUCAGGUGCGAAAGAGUGGGGAGCAAACAGG